RNAcentral lists this ribosomal RNA (375 nucleotides) under uncultured bacterium. RNAcentral's name for it is "bacterial SSU rRNA". It matches the Rfam family "Bacterial small subunit ribosomal RNA", at positions 524 to 898 of the family's 1533-position model. The record is from RNAcentral.
UACGGAGGGUGCAAGCGUUAAUCGGAAUUACUGGGCGUAAAGCGCACGCAGGCGGUCUGUCAAGUCGGAUGUGAAAUCCCCGGGCUCAACCUGGGAACUGCAUCCGAAACUGGCAGGCUAGAGUCUUGUAGAGGGGGGUAGAAUUCCAGGUGUAGCGGUGAAAUGCGUAGAGAUCUGGAGGAAUACCGGUGGCGAAGGCGGCCCCCUGGACAAAGACUGACGCUCAGGUGCGAAAGCGUGGGGAGCAAACAGGAUUAGAUACCCUGGUAGUCCACGCCGUAACCGUUGUCGCCUUGUAGGUUGUGCCCUUGAGGCGUGGCUUCCGGAGCUAACGCGUUAAGUCGCCCGCCUGGGGAGUACGGCCGCAAGGUUAAA